RNAcentral lists this long non-coding RNA (8363 nucleotides) under Marmota monax (woodchuck). The record is from RNAcentral. Lineage: Eukaryota; Metazoa; Chordata; Mammalia; Rodentia; Sciuridae.
CUUUAAGAAAAAAUAUUUUAAUUACUUUUGUAAAUGAGUCCCGUAUUACAUAUUCUUGCUAGUGAGUGCUGACAGAGAAGGCAUAUUUGCAUUCUUUUCCCGUCAGUUCUCUAAAGUCCUCACUAAAUACCCAGAAUAUUCCAGAUUCAGUAGUCUAUAACUGCAAAGUACUAUUUUAUUUUAUUUUGUAUUAAAAAUGUAGAGGAUUUCUAGGCUCAUUGUAUGGACUAUCAGAAAUUGAUGCUUCUUCAGUAUUACCCAGUAGACUUUUUGGAAUCCCCAAGGAAUAUACCUAUACAAAUAGCUCUUUUCUUAUUGAAUUGCUCCUGCAGCCAUGUUCUGAACCACCGCUUCUUCAGAGCCAGGAAAGUGUCCUCCCAGCACCUCAUGAUGCAUGUUGUACUCCUCUCAGGUUUGACACCAUUCUGUCUCAUAAUUCCCAAGGUAAAAUUAAGAACAGCCUCUUGUAUUUAACAAAAUGUAUUGGUGAGAAUCUAGAGAAGAUGUUCAAGUGACUUCCAAUGGAAAGAAAAUUAGAUUGUCAUCAGACUUUUCAAAAAGUAAUAUACAAUAUACUUAAGAUACUCAAAGAAGUAAUUAAGUAAUAUACUUAAGAUACUCAAAGAAAAAUAAGGUGAGCCAAAAGUUUUAUAACCAGCCAAACUGGCUUUCAAAACUAAAGGCUGUAGACAAAUCAUUAUCAACAUCUGAGAAUUCAGAGACUCUUUUCCCCUUAAUCCUUUGCUGUGAAAUCUGCUGGAGAACAAACUUCAGACAUUCUUCAAAUAGAGAUAGUUACAUGAAUACACGUAACGAGCAUGAAAUUCAUAGCCACUUACAGAGCUAAGUUGAGGUUAAAGUUUAAAAGACAAGCUUAUAGUGCAUAAUAGUUAUAUGCUCUGAUAAUAUAAUUAUAGAAUCACUAAAAAUGCAAAUAGAAUGGGUAGAGCAUAUACAUAGUUUUGAAAUUGUUUUCAGUAAUCCUUUGGUGGAGGGUAUUGAUAUAGGUAUUGUGAGACAACGAUUAUGUACAUAAUGAAGAAGAAAACAAAUGAUAGUUGUGGCCUAUUCUAACUCUAUAAUACAUUGUCUACCUGAGAACCAAGAUUCAUAAUAUGGAGGAAAGAAGAUACAGAUUAAACAGAAGAGGUUAAGUAAAAACUCACUUGUCCUGAAGUUGAAUUGGAUGAGGUUAUCAUUCAUAUUUAUACUUAUGAAUAUAUAGGUAAGUGUUCAUGGGUAUUCAAGAUGUCCUCAUUUCAAGGUGGCAAUCUAGGUACUGGGAAUCUCUCUCAGUUCUGGACAUGUUCACUGAAAAUUUUUGGAAACAAGCGUUCAACUCAGUAACAGAAAGCAUCCCUAACACCCAGAAUAUUAUUUGAAAUGAAGGUUUCUUGGUGAUACAACUAAUUUUGAGGCAAAAGCAGGAAAUAUACAAAUUGAUCACAGAAUGUGUUGUUAUAUCCCAAGAAUCAUGCCAAAAGCCAUCAAUUUAAAGGAACUUCCUAUUCAUCUAUUGAAGGGCACCUAGGUUGGUUCCACAGUUGAGCUGUUGUGAAUUGUGCUGCUAUAAACAUUGAUGUGGUUGUGUUCCUGUAGUAUACUGUUUUUAAGUCCAUUGGGUAUAGACUGAGAAGAGAGAUAUACCUGGGUCAAAUUGUGGUUCCAUUCCAAAUUUUCCAAGAAAUCUCCAUAGGAAUGGAUGAAAAAAAGGUGGCAUAUAUACAUAAUGGAAUAGUACUCAGCAAUAAAAGAGAAUAAAAUCAUGGAAUUUGCAGGUAAAUGGAUGGAGUUAGAGAAGAUAAUGCUAAGUGAAGUUAGCUAAUCCCCCAAAACCAAAUGCAGAAGUUUUCUUUGAUAUAAGGAGGCUGAUUCAUAGUUGGAUAGGGAGCGGAAGCAUGGGAGGAAUAGAUGAACUCUAGAUAGGGCAGAGGAAUUGGAGGGGAAGGGAGGAGGCAUGGGGUUAUUAAUGAUGGUGGAAUGUGAUGAUCAUUAUUAUCCAAAGUACAGGUAUAAAGACAUGAAUUGGUGUGAAUAUACUGUGUAUACAACCAGUGAUAUGAAAAAUUGUGUUCUAUAUGUGUAAUACGAAUUGUAAUGCAUUCUGCUGUCAUAUAUAAAUUAACAGUAAAUAAAAAAAUUUAAAAAAAAACAAAGGUCCUUUCUAUGGCCAGAAUGGAGCCAUUCAAGUUUUAAUAAAGAGCUGGGCACAGUGGCACAUACCUGUAAUCCCAGUGACUCAGAAUGCUGAGGCAUGAGGAUGGUGAGUUCAAAGCCAGCCUUAGCAAUUUAGAGAAGUUCCAAGUAACUCAGUGAGACCUGUCUCCAGAUGAAAUAUAAAAAAGGGUUGAGGAUGUGGCUCAGUGGUUAAGCACCCUGGGUACAAAACAAAAAGUUUAAUGAAGACAUUAAAAGCAAUGGAUUGAUACAUAUCAAAUAUAUUUAAAUCCAUAAAUUUAUAGUAAUUUAAAAAAAUGAUUGGUCAUAUUUGGAGAAGGAUUUGGGAACCAACUCAUUAUUAUGAAAACUAAUAAAGGGGAAAAUCAAUUACUCAUUAGGUCUCCCUAUAUGAAUUUUAUUUCAGUAACCAAAUAGUAGAUGAGUAAAGUGACCCUUCAUAGAAAGAUUUCAGUUAAUUAAGAAUGAAUGAAAUCUCCACCUUACAGCUCCUAUUCAAACCACAGAUCUAAACACUGAGCAGCAGUAGCUGCCAACCUUACCAAAGGAAAGGCAACCAGUCUAGGCUUCCUGAUGAAACAACACAGUAUCACCAAUGGUCUUAUCAAAGCAAAUAAACCUGAAUCAGAUGGAACUACCAAUUGACAGGGAACGCAGAGGACAGAGGAACACGUUAAACUCCACCACAGAGAAGCUCUGACGAUCCAACAUUUCAACAAAUACCUUGCAAAGGAUAAAAGGGACAUGGGGCAAAACUUGAGAUUAAAAGACAAAUUUUAAAACAAUCAAAAUUAAACUACAGUGUUUUGGGGUGCUCAAUUGAAUGGUAAAACUACUUGUUAAAAAGGGAAGUGACUUCAAUAAAAUUAGGAUAAUGGUUUCUUUUAGGGAAGAGGGUCCCAGCAUGUGAAGGGCUUCUUAGGUAGCUAGCAAAGUUCUGUUUCUUGACUUGGUGGUGAUUACAAGAGGAAAUGCCUCUAAUGAUUCAGUGAAGUAGAAUUUUGUAUCAUGGAGUUGUCUGUAUUUAUGCUUCAUUUCAUAGUGAAAAAUAUUUUUAAAAAUCAUCUGAACAUGCUUAGGGAAUAAUAGUACCACCAUUCAAACUAUGACUAAGUGCUAUUAAAACUAAUUAACUUUCAAGAUCACAAGCCAACACCUAAAUCUCGGCAUUCUUGUCCAGCUCCUACUGGGUUUUAAGAAAUAAAAACUAGUUUGAGUCCCACACAACCAAAUAACCAAGCCUCUUUAACCUUCCACCUCCUGUUCUUUCAUGUCAGCAAGAGGAAGUAGUCUGUCCUUUCCCUGGAAAAAAGCCUACUCAUUCAUCCUUGCCCUGGAAUGAUUGACACUGGGAACAUCCAGUCCCUUUUUGAAAAAUAUCCACUUCCAUUUACAAGGUGGAAUCUGGCUUCAGGGUAUCAGAAAAAAAAAAAGAUAAUAAUAAUGGCUGUUGAUGUAUUUCCCCACAUCUGGGUCAUUCAAUAUAAACAACAGCAUGUGAGAGAUGCCAUCACUUGAGUCCAAUCAUAUACUUAAGAAAAAUCAUUUAUUUACCUGUUCAAAAGAAUAUUCAGACUAAAGCUAACUUUAUGUCGUAACCAAAGCAUUAUCUUUCUAUUCUGAAAUGCAUAUUAAGAUGUUUAAUGCACUGCUUCUCCUUUAAAAUAACUCCCCGUUGGGGAUUUCCCUCCCUCAAAUCCUAUCUUGAGAUUUUCUGAAAAUAAGUUCUCAGAACAAAGGAAAUCUCAAAUUUUAUAAGUAAGAAACUCUAACAGCCCUCAGAAGAGAGUUUCCUCCAUUCACUCCUAUAGUCGCAAACUGGAUAAAGUCCUAAGUUUUAUCUUUAUCAGGUACUCAUUUUAACUAAUCCCAGUCAUCGAUUUGAAAAAAUUUCUAUCAUUUAGCCCUUAGCUCUGUGUAUAAAUCUUGUAACCUCCUCUAAUUUUCCCAGAGUAAUUAUGACAUGGUGUGAAUCCAUCCUACAGGAAACAUUUUCCCCUUUGUUUGUUCUCACCCUUUACCAUUGUCUGUGAUAGAAACCACAAGCUGGCCACAACAUCCACUCUUUUUUCUCCUUCCUGGAGCCGAGGCUGAAGUAGAUUUUUCUAUUUUUGUUGCACUUAUUCCAGGGGACUAAGUUCUCACCAAUGGAAACUCAACAAAAAAAUUCUCCACUUACAGAAUUUGCCCAUUAAAACCUCCCACUCAUGCUGUCCAGCUCUUUCCUCUUUUUGGCCAGCUGGACUUGUGACCUGAAGGAAACCUUGGCAACUGAGGAUGGAACAUGGCAAAUUCACUGUCCCAUUCCAAUCCCUGAAGACCACAGUGUGCUGCUGCUGACCUGAACUGCCUCCUUGAGAGAGAAAUACACUGAUAUUUCAGCUGUUGACUUUUUAAGGGUUUCUUUGCUUGUUACCUUCCUAAUCAAUAUGGGAAGAGGCACCUAAAAGAGAAUACCAUAAACACACACACACACACACACACACACACACCUGAAGAACACAGUGUUGGCUUCUUGUGUGGCCUGAAGGCAGAUAGGAGAUGGCUAUCAAAGGCUAGAAAGCCAGAGCCCCAAGUUAACCAUGAAAAACACUUUUAAAACACUUCAUCUCUGAUAGCUUGGAAAGUAGACCAAGAACUUACUGAGUCUGAAGCUCUAGGGAACAUAGCUGGUAAGAGUAGGAAUGCUAGUGUGCGAGGUUGAAAGCUGUGGCUUUUAGCCCAGUAAUGCAAAAAAGAGACGAGCUCAGGCAAAAAUUAACUAGAUUGUCUACUGAAACAGAACAAUCACUAAAAUAAUAAUAAUGGGACAGCCACAAUAAUAAUGAUGAUAACAAUCACAAGAAUAGUAAUAAUUCUUCAAGACUGCUCUGGGCUGGGAAAAAAAAAAAAACACUGAUGGUUUGUAUAGCUCAAACAGUAGAAGAUAAGAUUUAUAGGUUCAAAGAAUAAAAGGAGAUCCAGCCCAGUGGCAAAGAUAAAUAUCAAGAGCGUUGGCACCCAAGCCUGUUUCAGACGUCAGUGAUGGUUUGAUCAAGGAAGACAAACCUCAGAAAAGAUCAAGAAAAUACUUUGGGGUUUAUUUGCUAGCACAUGAAACAGAAUGGAAAUAAGUAGGUCAGAAGCCCAUCAUAUUUUUGAAAAAACAGUAGUGCCCCAGGAAACCACAAGCUUGAAUCUGUAAAUCACCCUCAUGCAACAGCAGAGAGUGAGCUCUGAAAGGUGUUAGCUCCUAAACCCACAUUUCCCCAUGUCCACCUCUUAUGUGGCCAUGGAGAAUAGCGGACAAGAUUGUUCUCCAGGAGGACAGAGUCAAGGGCUACAGAGAAUGCAGGCAAGGAAGUACCUUGCUCAGGACGACACUCGGUACAUUGACAUUUUAUUCUAGGGUUUGGAGGGUCUUUGCAAUACCUGCCCAGCAGGAGUUCAGUGCUAUGGCCCAGGACUGCUGUGGGCAUUUCUAUUCUUGUCCGCUUUUGUAUAUUGGGUAGGCAGUUGGGCCCGGAUAACUUGUCUUUUAGUUCACAGGGUGCCAGAUCUUGAGGAACCACGUCUGGACCUCAAGAAGAGAUCUGAACACCAUCUGGAGACCCCAGACUUUGAUAUAGAUAUAAUAACUGGAGACAUUUUUUUUUUCAUGAGAAAUAGGCGAAUAUGGCUUAAUAAGGGAUGAUAGUGGCCCAAGGGACCAACUAUGUUAGAGACGCUAGUUGUCUACCAAAAAUACAUUCUUCUCUUCUUUCUGGGCACCCAGCUGGACUGCAUUUCUCAGCCUCUCCUGCAGGGAAGUGACUAAGUUUUCUUCAAUGGAAUAUGAUUACAGGGAUAAAUGGCACUUCUACUCUUGGCCCAUAACAGUCUCUCAUACUUGUCCCAGUAUGUCCCUACCUUUUACUUGCUAACAGAAGUGGCAAAGCCUGGAAUGACCUCUGGGUACCACAAGCCAAGAAUGACACAGCCAUCAUCACCUGGGUCUUUAAUUGACUGUGAAGGAGCUCUCCUAUCAGUCCAAAUCCUAUUAUAAUGACUUCUGAUUUUUUAAGCCACAGAAAUUUGGAUUUUAUUUUAACAGCAGUGUAGCAUAAUCUAAUAGAUCCCAUUAAAAAAUAGCAAUUCCUUUUUUUUUUAACAGAAUUAACUGUUUCAAGAAAGGCUACAGUUCACACAUUGAAUUGAAAACCUUGACAUUGUCCCUAUUGGCCAGAUGAGAUUGCGUGAUCCCUUCUCAAGACUCCUACCUGGAAUAACUACAAUCCUAAUCAUUUUACUCCUCUUUUGCCUCUUCUCUACCCCUUCCCGGACCCCUCUGUUGUGCUCUCCUGGCAAAACCCCAGCUCUGGAUUCACCCAAUCCUACCUCCUCCCAUGCUUGCAAGCUUCCCACGGCUGGUUCCACUUUAAAUUCAGGAUUGCUGACGUAGUACUGAUAGCCACAGUACUGUCCCAACAAUCUCACUGCAUUCCCUCAGUUCAUUCAUUCAUCGAAUCCCACAUACAGAUUUUCAGAUGUUUUUGUCUCUCUACAAUAAUCUCCAGUUCCUUUCCCUUCCUCCUCACUGUUAGCUGAUGAGUUUGAAUUCUACCUCAUUAAGAAAAUAGAAGCCAUCAGGGCGAGUUUCCUUUAGCUCCCACCAUCUUCUCCUCGACUGCCUACCUGCAUCUGUUCCUGUGUAAUGUGCCUUCCUUCUUGGGUGAAUUAUCUGUUUUUUCUAAAGCCAAAACCUCCAUAUGUGCACUGGGCACCAUUUCCUCUCAUCUACUGAAGGCUCUUACUCUAAAAACUCUCUCCUCUUUUUUGCACCAUCAAAAUUUCUCUCUGAAUUGGACGUUUCCCAUCAACACACAAGGCACCUGGAAAUCCUCUCAUGUUUCAAAAAGAGUCAAAAGAACUUGACUCCACCUUGCCACCAACUUGUUAGAGUAGAUGGUGGCCCGUUACAGGGAGCCCCGGGACCCUCGGGGGUAAGUGAUGAAAAAAAGCUGCCCCUCCAUAGAUAGGACGGGAGCAAAUCUGCUCGUCCCUAGGCAGAUAGGGCGAGAGGAAAAAUGGCCAUUUCGAGAAAAUGGAGAAGAUUGAUACAGUAUGUUUGUGUCUUGUUUUGUCUCAGUGUAUUGUAUUGUCUUUGUGAUGAAAACAUGGAAGGGGUGUUAAGUAAAUUGAUAAGGGAAAGAGGCACCCCAGUGGAACCAAGAAUAGUUAGGGCAUGUGUUGAUGGAAGCCCAGGAACUCUAGUCAGAAAGAAAAAGAAAGUUCAGAAGAAGAAAGAUUAUCAGGAAAAAAGUUACAGCGAAAGGCUAUUACUGAAUACUUUUCGUUACCGGAGGGUGCAUCAAUCGGCGCGGUGGCGGCUGCCACGUGCGCGAGCUGGUCAUGGCGCAGCAAGGGCUUUCCAAGCAGCUGCAAUCGGCUCUUCUCUGCCCCCCGCCCGGGGAGCGGGAUGCCACUGCGAGAGCCCAAAUCCAAACCUGUGCCGGGAAGCAGUUUGAGACCAGGACUCUCCCCAGGGCCAUCUGGGGCUGCCCAGGACGCUACAGCCAGCAAAAGACGCUACUGGCGUCCCUGGUGUUUGGUCAUUUCCAAGGCCAGUAACUACAAUGGUUCUCCCACACCUGGAAGCUAAUGAGUAAUGAGCACUAUUAAGGCUUAUUUCAAAUGUAAAAAACCUUGAGGUAAUGUACUAAAUUGUUCAGAAGGUUGUUUUCUUAGUAGAGUGCUACAGGAUUUUCUUUAGCCAUCUGGAGUUCCUGCCUUCGUCCCAGUGCCCAUAAAGACCAAGGUGGAAGAAUUUCCAGUGUUGCUGAGAACCGGAGGAGACUUCGGAUUAAGCUAGUUGCCUGCAGAACUUACCUGGACUGUGAUUUAAGCUACCUGCCUGCAGAAUUUACCUGGACUGUGAGUUAAUCUAUUUGAGACACUGCUUUACCUGGACUGAGACAACAAACUGUAAUCUACAACAAAUUGUAACUUGGUAUCUUUGCUAAUGGUGUCAUUGCUGGUAUAAUUUUUCCAAGGGCUUCUUGCAUGGAGCCAUCAAUUGGCUUGGUAUUGUGGCAUUUUGUAUCCUCCCUUUCUGUUUGUAGCAGGUUAUUUAUGGUGUUUCUGUCAAAACCACUAUGGUCGUUAUUUAAAUUAAACAAAAGGGAAAAAUGUUAGAGUCUGUAAACAAGUCAAAAUAAACGGCUUCC